Molecule: non-coding RNA, 5104 nt
Organism: Ictidomys tridecemlineatus (thirteen-lined ground squirrel)
Lineage: Eukaryota; Metazoa; Chordata; Mammalia; Rodentia; Sciuridae
Source: RefSeq, a predicted model, not a curated record
CUCAUUUCUUCUUUCCCCAGAGGCAGGCUGUCUGCUACACAGACAGUGGUUUAUGGAAGCCCUUUUAUGUGCCAAUAAAAAACGAGCGAUUAUAGCAGGUGAUGAAAGCGGCUAGUGCCUCGGAGACGCCGCGUGUUUAGAGAGAGCGGAUCGUGUCCCCCGAGAUCAGCACUACCGGGGGCCCUGCUCCUUUAUUACGGAAUCGGCAUCAGACACCAAAACCCUCGCCAUUUCGAGAAUCCGCACAAGCACAAGGUCCAGGAGACCUGAGAGGCCGCCCGCUCCCCCCGCCCGGGAGCACCUGUACUGAAGGAGGCGGAGGGGGUUUCUUCACUGUCCCCAGGACAGGCCCCAGGGCUGAGCCAGGCCACAGCCAGGAGGUGCAGGGGACAGAGAGCCCCCAUGCUGUCCAGAAGGUGAGCGGCCUCCUGUGGAGCUCGGCUGGCUGGUGUGCAGGUGGCUGGAGCCAGGGCAGCCCUGGAGACCCCGAGAUCCGGGUGAGGUCUCAGCCCUGAUUUGGGCCUUCAGUGCCAGCGCAGCAAGGCUGAGCAGAGGCUCCAGGAGUGGGAGGCUGACAAGUGUGGGCCUCAGGGCCCCCCCAACCUUGGCUUUGUCACUUAUGAUGGAGGACCUUCAGCCAGCGGCUCUCAACGAGGGGUGACUUUGUCCCUCCCCUGGGACUUCUGACAACAUCUGGAGACAAAUAACUGGAGAUGGGGUGCAAAAGGCUCCACUCACUGCUGGUAUCUGUGAAACGGAAGCCAUAGAUACUGCUAAACACCCUACUGCGCGCCCAACCAUACCCCACAACAAAGACUGGUUCAACUCCCAAGUGUCAAAGCAAUGGCGUUGAGAAAGCCUGUCUUUAGACAAUCAACGAACUGCUCUGGGACUCGGUUUCCUUAUUUAUAAAACAGGGUGGUGGGUUGUGGGGUUGCUGUGAAGCUCACACGAACUGGGGUGUGCGGAGCGCUCACGACAGCGCUUGGCACCGCCAGCAGCUACCUUCAACUGGAGGACUGUCAUCCAAGACAUCAGGAGGCUGUCUAGGGGAGGGAGGCUCAGCUGGUUUGUCUGUCAGAAUCAAGGGGCGGGGCUGAAGGCAGAGGAAGUUCAAUGUCCUGGUGCUAAGAGCUCGAAGCUGGGGAGGCCAGAUAAAGGGGAAGGGCAGAGGGGUCCUGGGUAACUUCUGCAAGCCCUUGCUGGUACCUGAGGGUUCCUCUCUGCAGGGUGCACAGUCAGGGAGCAGGAGCAGUGGGGGGGGGACCCAGAGGACCCACCUCGGUCCCUGUCUGCGGUGGUUCAUGCCUGCUCCUUCUGCAUGCUCCCGGAGGAUUCUUUCUCUACCUACCUGCCCCACGGUGCCCCUCAUCUGCCACGUGGUAGUGUUGUAGGCCCAGAAGGAGGGUCAGCCUCUGGAGCUGGGCAGAGAAUGGGGACUGGAGGCAGCCCAGGGGAAUUCAGGGAGUGUUGCAUUUUGUCUUGUAGUGAUGUGAUUUGUGUCUCCCAAAGAUCUGCCUGCCUGGACUGCAGCAUGCGGCUUCAUUUGGAGUCAGAGCCUUUGCAGAUGUAAUUAAGGUAAUGAUCCACAGACGGCAUCAUCACCAGGUGUGCAGGUGGGCCUUCAACCCAACUAUGGGUGUCCUUACAAAAGACAGGAAAGGAGAAGGCUUAGAGCACUGAGCAGGGAGGGUCAAGGCCAUGGGGAGCGGCACCCCUCAUCUGGAAAUCCAAAGUCUGGAAUCCUGCAGUAAAGUCUAGGCAAAUGUGCCAAAAUCUGGGGAAAAGACAAUGUGAAAUCUGAAGUGUUUCUUGUCCCCAGCUUUUCAGAUACAGUUCCCAAGACGGAAAGGGCCCGGGCCAAAGGCCCCAUCCGAAGGGGCAGCUGGGCAGGGAACUCAAGCCCUGGCUCUUGCCCAGGGUCACCUUUCAGAGUCUGAGACAAAGCUUUCAACAUCUUGUCCUCAAAUAACUCCCUCGAACAAGGACCUUUGUUUUUCACCCCCAAGUCCCAGAACACUCCACGCUUGGCAAGGCUGAAGCCUCCCGGACCAGUUAACAAGGCCACCGGACGGGAUGGUUAGGUUAAGGCGGCGUCCACAACCAUCGGCGUGGGAAGAAAAGAGGAAAAGAGAAAAACCCAAGUACAACCGGCGCUUUAUUAAUCGCCCGAGAGCUCUUUAGCCGUGGGAGUUGAAAGGAGAGUGGUGAGCCGCUGAAGGAAGGGAUGGAAAAACCCUGAUCUUCCAUUAAUCUCGCUGCCCUCCGCGUGGCAGACACCCAUUGUCAGGGCGGGCACAAAGCCUGCCACAGUUGGCGGCAGAAUCGCAAGGUCCGGGGGCGAACGGGGAGCGCGGGUCUUUGGAGAGAGAGCGGUUCAAUAUGGAAAGUGUUUUCCGCACAGCCAGAGGGGCCCAUUUCCAGUCCUUUUCAAUUUGUACACUUUUCCUCCAAUGACUCCUCGAGGGUAAUUACAGUUCUUUUCACAAAUGAAGUAUGGAAGAUGGGAGAGAGGCGAGGCUGUCAAUAGUCCUGCAGGAAUGUGCGGGUCUGUCUCUGGGAGGACAGAAAGCAUCGAUCCUCCUUCCUGGGGGACUCAGAGCGUGAAUGGAAGGCAUCCCCGUGGGGAGCCUGGGGGGGGGACAUCGCCUCUGCCCCCAGAGGGGCCCCGAGUGAUAGAGGACAGGAGCUUCUGAGCCCCCGUGGAGCUACCAGAUAUAAGAGCUGGGUCCUCCCACCGCAAAUAUGUGCUUUGGAGACCCAUCGGCUUGUAUCCUCUUUUGUAUUUCCUCCCUUGGAUAAGGAUCCAAGACCCCAGCUACAGGCAGCAGGAGGUAUUCCUGUGGCCCAGAGGCUCGUGUUUCUUCCAGUAACUUAGGCAUGGGACAAAGGCAUCUGCAUGCAGACAGACAGAGGGCACACCGCUGCAGGGGCUGUGGAGGGCUGCAGAGGAGCUGGGACCCAACAGGCAUCCUUCAGGCUGCACCAAGAGGCUGAGAUUCACAGGCUGAACUGUCGUGAGCACAAAUAUGGAGUAUUGCCCUUGGGACCUAAACCCAACUGCUGGCUCAGAGCAGCCCUUCUGGGAUAGUUCUGGGGCUGCAGAACAGUGAGCUCAGUGCCAGUCAGCACCCUGCCCUGGGGACCAAUAACAGCUAACGUGUCAGAGAGUUCUCCAGACCAGGCACACGGCUUGUGGCUUUUCAGCCAUGUCCCAUGAGACCCCCGUGUUGGCCCUAAGAGGUCUAUACGUUGAUGACCCCUAUUUGCAGACGGGGAAUGAAUGCUGAGAGUAAUAAAGUGACUUUCCGAGAUCCAUACCUGGGGAGUGGUGGAGCUGGGUCUGUAACACCGGACACACGGGUUGCCAAGCCCCUGCCCUUGCCUGCUUCUCCAAGCUGCUCAAGGCUUCCAAACAUGGCUGCUGUGGCAGAGCUUCUAUCCCAAUGGAGGCCCUAAGGACAGCAGGAGUCAACGAUGUUACCCGGUAGACAGUUCGCCGUCUCCACCCCGGGCUGGACCCUCAGCUCUGCCAGGUGACCUUCACGGCUUCUCCAGCACUGCCCCGCCUCCACAACCCCGCUGACUUUUUCCGUCCUUGUUCCUUCUCUAUAAGACCCUCUCCCCACCACCGAACCCCUCUAAUGCAGAGAAAAGGACCAAUUGCAAGGGUGGGAGGUCCUUGGCCAACUUAUUGCCAAAAAUCUUCUUUUAUCGAACAGCUUUACGAGUUGUCAUUUACAUACCAUAAAAUCCACUCGUCUGAAAUGCACCACUGAAUGACUUUUAGUGUAUUGACAGAGUUGUGCCACCGACUGUCACCCACAUUCAAUCUUGGAACAUUUGCAUCACCUAGCAGGAGAGAAAGCAUUGCCUACUUGCAGGCUCCCUCCAAUCCCACCCUGUCCCCAGGCAACCACCAGUCUGCUCUCCAUCAUUAUAGAUUUGCUUUUUCUGGACUUUCCAUAGAAAUGGAAUCAUGCACUAGGUGGGUUUUUUUGUUGUUGUUGUUUGUUUUUUGUUUUUGUGCCUGACUUCUUUCAUUUUAGCAUAAUGUUUUUGAAGUCCCUCCAAGUAGCACAUACCCAUUGUUGGUUCCUUUUUAUUGUGGAAUUGUAGAGCUAUAACACGUUUGCUCAUCUAUUCACUGGUUGAUGGACAUUUGGGUUGUUUCCACUUUGGACGACGAUGGAGAAGGCAGCCACGGGGCUUGGGUGCAAGUGUCUGCGUGGACACACGGCUUGCUUUCUCUUGGGUAGAUACCGAGGACGGUGCCCUACUCUCACAGUAUAUCUCUCUGCAUUUCCCUCCUCUGUCUCCAGAUUCGAUGGCUGAGGUGUCCCUGCUGCAGUGAUAGAUUUCUUCGUCUGUGAUCUGUGUUCCCUCUCUCCCUGUUGCUUUGGGGACCUUGCUUCAUCAGCUAUGCCGUCCCCUUCUCUUAUCACCAGCAUUUGGCUUCAUUACAUGGGGAUAAUAAUAAGACUCACUGCAUGGUGCUUUAGUGAGGAUUAAGUGAGGAAUGGUAUUAAGAUGCUAAAGUAGGAAGAUGCUAAAGUAGGCCCCACGGUCCCUGCCUCCUGCUGCUGGGGCCUUUGUAUAAUCCCUUGCCCUUGAGUAUAGGUGGGACCUGUGACUUGCUUCUAACCAAAGGCAAUGGGAUGUCACACCAAGAUAAUGUCACAUUACAGGAGACUCAUCUCAGCAACCUGGAGAUAGAGACUCUCCUUCCUGGCUCCAUGAAAUAAGUAAACAUGUUGGAGAGGGACAUUUGAAGAGAACCUCUGGUACCCCUAGGGACUGCAGGUGGCUCACUCCACGUGGCCUCUAGGACCUGAAGGUGGUAUCUAGUGCUCUCAGGAAGCUCUGGUCAAAAGCUAGCAAGAAGCCAGGGUCCUCAGUGCUACACCAGCAAGGAAAUGAGUCCUGCCAACAAUCUGAAUGAGAUUUAGAAGUGAGUUCUCCACCGGUCGAGUCUCCAGAUGAGGUCACAGCCCAUCCGACACCAUGACUGUAGCCUGUGGGACCUGACCCAGAGGACCUCACUGAGUCACGUCAGGACCCACAGAAACUGAGAGAGAAUAAAUGUGUGUUUUAAGUAGCUAAA